Molecule: long non-coding RNA, 511 nt
Organism: Oryza brachyantha (malo sina)
Lineage: Eukaryota; Viridiplantae; Streptophyta; Magnoliopsida; Poales; Poaceae
Exons: 2
Source: RefSeq, a predicted model, not a curated record
CUCGUUCUCUCUUUCUUCUGCCUCCCUCUCUCUCGUUCAGGUUGGUGGACAUGGCCGGCGGUGACGGCGCGCCACUGGCAACUACCCACCUCGCCGGACGGCGAGCUUCCGAGAGCCGCCGCCGCUCUGCAGGCCGGUCUCCCGCCACCGUCGGCUCUAGAUCUGUCCAACACGCGGUGGGGGGACGCCGGCCGGCCGGCCAGCCAGCCCAACGCGUCGGCCAGCAAUACCGAUGCCCCAAGUUCGACGGCGCCUUGUCCGACGGCCUCCCCUCUUCGUCCUCACGACGCUAUCCCUCCUCUCGUCUCAACGACCUCGGUUGAGCCUGACGCAACACCCGGCGGUCACCUAAACCCUAGCAGUGUCUCCCCUCUUCUUCCUCUACAAUGUGGUGCAUUGGGUGGCAUGAAUGAAAAAGAUGUGGCGGAUGGCAUGGAGAACAUACCAAGUUUUGGUGAUACAGAGUAUGGACCUAUUUUUUGUGAAAUAAGAUGCCUAUUUUGUUGUUGUA